This 528-nucleotide unclassified non-coding RNA is filed under the name Cyanobium sp. Sai005. RNAcentral's name for it is "partial contains 16S-23S ribosomal RNA intergenic spacer and 23S ribosomal RNA". Lineage: Bacteria; Bacillati; Cyanobacteriota; Cyanophyceae; Synechococcales; Prochlorococcaceae. The record is from RNAcentral.
UCCAUCCAGUUAGGUUAAGGACCACAACAUGAAGCUGCAUCAGGAGGAAUUCUGAUGGGUGAAAGUGACCGGACAUGUUCAGCUGAGGAUUCCAGCCUCCUUUCAUUCCCGAUGGAUGAAAUCACUUUAAACGGUGAGAUUUAUUCUGAGAUGGUUGAAAGGAAGCUGGACUCGCUGAUCACUUAUUCCCAUGUUCAUGGGAGUGAGUGAGGCAGUGUAGCCAGCAAAGAACCUUGACAACUGCAUAGGUGAGUCUGGAAAAGAAAGCAUCUCAUGGAUGCCCAGGCGGUCGUGGACAGAUCCUGGUAACCCCAGGUGAAAGAGACGGCUGACUGGGAAGAUUCUUGAGUUUAGAGCCGAGAGCUUCCAGCGUCUUUUCGCUCCGCCGAGGAGGGAAGAGUCAGAUUCUGCGUUUCAAACCGCUUGAGUUUGAAUGGGACGAGAGACCGCGACGGGCAACCGAAGCGGUGGAUUGUUUCAUGAAAAGCGAAAGCAGGUGAAAGCAGGAGAAUGGGUCUCAACAACCCG